Molecule: ribosomal RNA, 213 nt
Filed under: Picochlorum sp. RCC944
Lineage: Eukaryota; Viridiplantae; Chlorophyta; Trebouxiophyceae
Description: partial Bacterial small subunit ribosomal RNA
Rfam family: Bacterial small subunit ribosomal RNA
Source: RNAcentral
CAGGCCUAACACAUGCAAGUCGAGCGGUAGAGAGAAGCUUGCUUCUCUUGAGAGCGGCGGACGGGUGAGUAAUGCCUAGGAAUCUGCCUGGUAGUGGGGGAUAACGUUCGGAAACGGACGCUAAUACCGCAUACGUCCUACGGGAGAAAGCAGGGGACCUUCGGGCCUUGCGCUAUCAGAUGAGCCUAGGUCGGAUUAGCUAGUUGGUGGGGU